UGUGUAGGCGGUUUUCUAAGUUCGGUGUGAAAUCUCCCGGCUUAACUGGGAGGGUGCGCCGAAAACUGGAAGGCUUGAGUAUGGGAGAGGAAAGCGGAAUUCCUGGUGUAGCGGUGAAAUGCGUAGAUAUCAGGAGGAACACCUGCGGUGUAGACAGCUUUCUGGACCAUCACUGACGCUGAGACACGAAAGCGUGGGUAGCAAACAGGAUUAGAUACUCUGGUAGUCCACGCCCUAAACGAUGCAUACUUGGUGUGAGCCGUUCAUUCGGUUCGUGCCGGAGCUAACGCGUUAAGUAUGCCGCCUGGGGAGUACGGUCGCAAGGCUAGAA
This 331-nucleotide ribosomal RNA is filed under the name uncultured bacterium. RNAcentral describes it as "bacterial SSU rRNA". It matches the Rfam family "Bacterial small subunit ribosomal RNA", at positions 568 to 899 of the family's 1533-position model. The record is from RNAcentral.